This 460-nucleotide ribosomal RNA is filed under the name uncultured bacterium. RNAcentral describes it as "partial 16S ribosomal RNA". It matches the Rfam family "Bacterial small subunit ribosomal RNA", at positions 338 to 795 of the family's 1533-position model. The record is from RNAcentral.
CCUACGGGAGGCAGCAGUGAGGAAUAUUGGUCAAUGGCCGGGAGGCUGAACCAGCCAAGUCGCGUGAGGGAAGACGGCCCUACGGGUUGUAAACCUCUUUUGUCAGGGAGCAAGGUGCAGGUCGGGACCUGCUGUGAGAGUACCUGAAGAAACAGCAUCGGCUAACUCCGUGCCAGCAGCCGCGGUAAUACGGAGGAUGCGAGCGUUAUCCGGAUUCACUGGGUGUAAAGGGAGCGUAGACGGCCAUGCAAGCCAGGGGUGAAAGCCCGGGGCCCAACCCCGGGACUGCCCUUGGAACUGCAUGGCUGGAGUGCGGGAGGGGCAGGCGGAAUUCCUGGUGUAGAGGUGAAAUGCGUAGAUAUCGAGAGGAACACUCGUGGCGAAGGCGGGUUCCUGGACAUUAACUGACGCUGAGGCACGAAGGCCAGGGGAGCGAAAGGGAUUAGAUACCCGAGUAGUC